Molecule: long non-coding RNA, 1679 nt
Organism: Helianthus annuus (common sunflower)
Lineage: Eukaryota; Viridiplantae; Streptophyta; Magnoliopsida; Asterales; Asteraceae
Exons: 4
Source: RefSeq, a predicted model, not a curated record
AAUUUCCCUUGCAUUUUGUAAGACGUGAACUGAACCGUCAUAGCUUAUUGCCCUAAUUUUCAUCCACUGCUCCCAAAUUUGCCCCCUACUUCAAGAUUCUUCGAUUUUUCCUUCAGUUUCUUGGAAUUACCAUCAUCUCUUCCACAUCCGUUCCGAGUUUUUGUUUGCAUUGAAGACCCGUCAGUUACCUCAUUCAAUACAAGUAUACAACGAUUGAAGGAGCAAUCAGUGAUGCUUUCGUCUUUACAUUUUCUUUUCCGUUUUCGAAUUACCCCUAUUUCUUCUCCAGAUGUUCUCCCUUCGCAUCAACGAUUCAAGAAACCCUCUCAACAUGGUCAUUCAAGAUUCGAUUGCUGGAGAAGUAGAAAAGAUUUGAAUCUAGCGGAUUUGUUGCAGAUUUAAGAUCACUCAUUAUGUGAGACUUCAUAUGGCUUAGUUGAUGUUUUUCCUGUUGAAGAUCGCAAAAGUGUGCUUUGUGAGUCGCUCACCGAGAUCAACGUGCAUGUCGUUGCAGCCCAAAGUAGUGGAGUUAUCUUAAUCACGACUUCAUGGCACAUCAUCUAAUACGCCAGCCACACUCUCCGAGUUGCGACGACAACAACACCACAACCUCCGCACCGGUUCUGUUCUCUUGGCCACAAGAAUUCCAACGAACUACACCGGUGACAACCGGGCAUUGAUCAGAGGUAAUACUGCUAUCUUUGUACUCCUCUUGAUUAUAUUGUUAUUAAUUCAUUGCCUCUCCAUAUAAACAUAGGAACAUCAUAUGGAUUCGAAGUGUUGUGUUUUUGAGAUAAAGAUGCUUGGCUGUUUGUACACUAGCACAUCAUCCACAUGCACAUAACUUACUUGGUAUCUCUAUUCUCGAGUCUACUGUUAUAAAAUAUGAUUUUACUUUGAAACAAAGACAGAUAUUGGUCUCAAACUUAAAUAAAAAGGAAUUCUGCAACUUUUAUAUAUAUAUAGAGAGAGAUAUAUAUAUAUAUAUAUUAUUAUUAUUAUUAUUUCUAUUUUUAUCAUUUAACUCCUGCUCGUGUACAACAUAUAAAUUUGAUUUGAUUUGCGAUAUUUUAAAACAAUAUAUUGUUUUAUUGUUAAUUUAGUUUAUACAAAUCUAUACAUUGAUAGUUAUAAAGUAGGGUGCGAAGAUGGUAAAAAUGUUAGAAUCAUUGUUUUUGGAAUAUAUUGGCUUUUAAAAAAAGAGUUAAAUGUCAUUUUACUCCCUGUGUUUUAAGCCAUUUUGCCAGUUUAGUCCGAAGGUUUUAUUUUUCGUUGAAGUGAGUUUACUCGGUCACCUGCAUUGUAAUAGACUAUUAGCAGCUGUAGUGAUACAUUACCAUAUUAUGUUCAGCUGUCUCAUUUUGAGAAUUUGUUUUGGUUACAUGAUAGGCGUGUGCUUUUGGCAUGCAUAAUACAUACAUAUAUCAUGAAAACUGUAUACCCCUUAAAAGUUAAGGACAUGCAGGUGGGUCAUAUCUUGAAGGCGUAAGUGUCGAAUUGGUUGAUUCUGAUCUACAAUAUUUGCAUCUGUUACACGUUUAGCUUAUUUUUUGUAUAUUAUGUGUUUGCCGUGUUCUAGCUUUACUACAGUCUAAAUUAACCCGCUUGAAUACAUGACUUUAGACUUAUAUCAUAGGAGGUUGAAGUGCUUUGUAUUUAUUAUAAAGAGUGAUUACAUU